GACUGAUUGGCGCAAUGGUAGCGCGUUUGAUUCCAAUGCUCUGCUCGAAAAGGGUGAUAUCAAAAGGUUGCGUGUUCGAGUCACGUAUCGGUCA
Molecule: non-coding RNA, 94 nt
Organism: Terfezia claveryi
Lineage: Eukaryota; Fungi; Ascomycota; Pezizomycetes; Pezizales; Pezizaceae
Source: the annotation of a GenBank genome assembly